Aplysia californica (California sea hare) is the source of this 1087-nucleotide long non-coding RNA. RefSeq lists it as uncharacterized. The transcript is spliced from 2 exons. Lineage: Eukaryota; Metazoa; Mollusca; Gastropoda; Aplysiida; Aplysiidae. The record is from RefSeq and is a predicted model, not a curated record.
GUUGUGAGGAAUUUUUCUCUGCCCGAAAUGUUCAGAGAAGUUCUGAAAGGACUUUUGCGCGGAGAUCCUCAGAAGCGACUGUCUGUUCCCGGCCUCUUGGAGUUCUUGUCUACUCGUGAGAAGCUCAGGGGAAUUAUGGAGGGUUUGUGAGAAACACGGACCUUUGGUAGUCGCAACCUUUUUUCUUUCUAUUAACUAAUUUGAUACUAAUUUUUCUUUCCUACUAACAGUAAUAGCACAACCCAACACCGAGCUCUUUUAAAUCUCGCUGACUUAAUUUUAAUUACAGUUUUGGUACCAUUAAAAGCAAUAACAUAUUUUUAAAAAAGAUUAACCCGAACACUAACGAAUUUUAAAAAAACCCUUUUUAAUUGACACUAGGUAUAAAGUAACCAAUAUUAAGUAAAUGUACUCCACAAACUAAAAAACACUAAAUUAAAUACACUUCAAAAACUGAUUAGGAAAAGAACACUGAGUAAUCAAAACUAACUGUAACAUAUUAACUGAUCAAGAAUAAUUAUACAACACUAACUGGAUAACGCUAAGAAAGAGCAGCUAGCCAAUGCUAAAACACUAGCUAAGCAUCAUUACACCUUAUCUAACAAACUCAAGUUGUAAAUUAAAUAUUACUAGAUUUAAAUUUAAGGAAAAACAGACUAAAAAGUUAUUCAGAAAAGAGCUUAAGUAAUGAAUACUAACUUUAACUUAACAAUAUUAACUAAUCAGCAAUAACUAUAAAACCAUAACUGAAUAACGCUAACUAUGAAAUACCAGCUGGCCAAUUCUAAAACACUAGCUAACCAUCAUUACACCUCAUUUAACAAACUCAAGUUGUAAAACAUUAGCUGUCUCCAUCAACCACUGACAAACCUGCGCCCACUACUAACUUAUCAAUGCCAACAAUUAAAGAACACAUAUUAACCGCUGAUAAACCAAAAUCAACCUCUAACUACCCACCACUAACCAUUUUAACAACCAUUUUAAUUACUAACUUACCAACACUAACCACUAACUAACCAACCCUAACAACUAAUUAACUAACACUAACUCCCCCAGACGUGAGCGCUCGGUAGCGCCGUCUUUUUAA